GACGAACGCUGGCGGCGUGCCUAAUACAUGCAAGUUGAGCGCUGAAGGUUGGUACUUGUACCAACUGGAUGAGCAGCGAACGGGUGAGUAACGCGUGGGGAAUCUGCCUUUGAGCGGGGGACAACAUUUGGAAACGAAUGCUAAUACCGCAUAAAAACUUUAAACACAAGUUUUAAGUUUGAAAGAUGCAAUUGCAUCACUCAAAGAUGAUCCCGCGUUGUAUUAGCUAGUUGGUGAGGUAAAGGCUCACCAAGGCGAUGAUACAUAGCCGACCUGAGAGGGUGAUCGGCCACAUUGGGAAUGAGACACGGCCCAAACUACUACGGGAGGCAGCAGUAGGGAAUCUUCGGCAAUGGACGAAAGUCUGACCGAGCAACGCCGCGUGAGUGAAGAAGGUUUUCGGAUCGUAAAACUCGGUUGGUAGAGAAGAACGUUGGUGAGAGUGGAAAGCUCAUCAAGUGACGGUAACUACCCAGAAAGGGACGGCUAACUACGUG
Molecule: ribosomal RNA, 497 nt
Filed under: uncultured bacterium
Lineage: Bacteria
Description: partial 16S ribosomal RNA
Rfam family: Bacterial small subunit ribosomal RNA
Source: RNAcentral